CAUAUAUAAGGAUAUGAAGGUGUUUUACAGAGAUAAGAAUUCUGUGCAAAAAAGUAAGCCUGGAAGGGAGGCCAAAAAGUAUAGAUAAAAGAAGGUAGAGGUGAUGAAAUAUAAUGAAAAUAUUGAUUGAUUGUUGGUUGUUUAAUUAAAGUCCAGUGGCAAAUAUUUGAUGCAUGUUUAGGACGAAUAUAAAAAAGAUCAAUAAUAAAGUAUAAAGUGAAAUAGUUAUAAAAAAAAUGGAAAACGAUGAUGUGACACCCCCCCCCCCCCCCCCCCAAAAAAAAAAAAACCAAAAAAAACAAACAACUAAACAAAACCACCCACACUCGCAUAUAUACAUGUAUACAUCUCUAAAAAAAUAUAUAAAUUUUGGUUUCAUGGUGCCCCCC
RNAcentral lists this long non-coding RNA (389 nucleotides) under Mytilus galloprovincialis (Mediterranean mussel). The record is from RNAcentral. Lineage: Eukaryota; Metazoa; Mollusca; Bivalvia; Mytilida; Mytilidae.